CAGAACGAACGCUGGCGGCAGGCUUAACACAGUGCAAGUCGAACGGUUGUAGCAAUACAGCAGUGGCAGACGGGUGAGUAACACGUGGGAACCUUCCUCGUAGUUCGGAACAACUCAGGGAAACUUGAGCUAAUACCGAAUAUGUCCGAGAGGAGAAAGAUUUAUCGCUAUGAGACGGGCCCGCGUCGGAUUAGGUAGUUGGUGGGGUAACGGCCUACCAAGCCUACGAUCCGUAGCUGAUCUGAGGGGAUGAUCAGCCACACUGGGACUGAGACACGGCCCAGACUCCUACGGGAGGCAGCAGUGGGGAAUAUUGCACAAUGGGCGAAAGCCUGAUGCAGCAACGCCGCGUGCGGGAUGACGGCCUUCGGGUUGUAAACCGCUUUCAGUAGGGACGAAGCUAACGUGACGGUACCUACAGAAGAAGCACCGGCCAACUACGUGCCAGCCGCCGC
RNAcentral lists this ribosomal RNA (455 nucleotides) under uncultured bacterium. RNAcentral's name for it is "bacterial SSU rRNA". It matches the Rfam family "Bacterial small subunit ribosomal RNA", at positions 25 to 518 of the family's 1533-position model. The record is from RNAcentral.